Molecule: unclassified non-coding RNA, 332 nt
Filed under: soil metagenome
Description: partial contains 5.8S ribosomal RNA, internal transcribed spacer 2, and large subunit ribosomal RNA
Rfam family: 5.8S ribosomal RNA (bases 1-120)
Source: RNAcentral
GAUGAAGAACGUAGCGAAAUGCGAUAAGUAAUGUGAAUUGCAGAAUCCAGUGAAUCAUCGAAUCUUUGAACGCACAUUGCGCCCGCCAGUAUUCUGGCGGGCAUGCCUGUCCGAGCGUCAUUUCAACCAUCAAGCCCCGGGCUUGUGUUGGGGACCUGCGUCCGACGCAGGCCCUGAAAACCAGUGGCGGGCUCGCUGUCCACACCGAGCGUAGUAACUAACCUCGCUAUGGAGUGGCGCGGGCGCCUGCCGUAAAACCCCCAAUUUCACAAGGUUGACCUCGGAUCAGGUAGGAAUACCCGCUGAACUUAAGCAUAUCAAUAAGCGGAGGA